GAUUAUUAUAAUAAUCAUUAAUAAUCAAAAAUUAUUAAUUGGUCUAAAGUUAAUAUUUAGCUUUGCUAGAGGGGAAGUUCACUUCCUGUGCUUUGAAGGCUGGGUGUGUUUAAGUUUUGAUUUAAGGAGGGUGUGCACAUAACUCAGUCUUCACAGAUACUUCACAAGACCUGAGAGACAAACCUAAGAGUCUUUUCUCCGUCUUAGAUUUUUUGGAGUCUGAAAGGACACAUUUUGGUUAUUCUGUGGGAAACCAGGCUGUGGUUGUCAACAGAAAGAAGAAUACAGUAUAUCCAUGGUUUGGUGUGUCAGUACAGAUCAUGAUGUGAAGCACAGCAGGCUGUCUAUAGAAGUGUCUACAAGAGCAAUGGUGACCAAACGAUUAAGUAGAUGGAGUUUUGGAUGCUGGAGCCAUCUGGAUUAUGUGUUUCUCCUGCUCCUGAUGCUACUGUUCCUUCCAGUAACAUCGAGCACAAAUGGCACAACAAUUGGGAUUUCAACCUUCACACCAUCUACAGAACUUUCAAAUUCAAUAACAGCGACUGGAGGAACGGCCGCUAAUAUUACCAUAACAGAUUCAUCUUCAACCAAAGGUUCCAGUAACUCAUCAACAGUGCCAGUAACACCAAGCCAUGAUGUGCAAAAUACAACUACGAUGUCGGAGACCACAGUCACGUCUUCUAACAUCAGCACAAUGAUCCCAGCAACAACAUUCACUCCUGAAUCACAAAGAACUUAUAAUCAAACUGUGGAAAGCACACCAUACACAUCCACUGGAAACAUGACUUCUUUUGAACCAACACCAAACUUCACAUCCACUGGGUACACAACUUCUUUUGAAACAACGGCAAACUUCACAUCCACUGGAAACACAACUUCUUUUGUAACAACGGCAAACUUCACAUCCACUGGAAACACAACUUCUCUUGUAACAACGGCAAACUUCACAUCCACUGGAAACACAACUUCUUUUGUAACAACGGCAAACUUCACAUUGACUGGAAACACGACUUCAUUUGAAACAACUACAAACCUCACAACAUUUACAGCAACACCCGGACCAUCCCCCUCCGCCAAUAUAACUGAUACAACACCAACCAUUAACCAAACAUCAGCAACGACAGCACCCACACCUUGUAACUUUAAUCAAAGCUGUGUAAAAGCAUUUUACUGGAUGACCGUUAAUGUAACAAGAACACUUGAAAAUGAAAUACAGAUCCGGACAUGGCUUGAGCAGCUUUACAAAAGCAAACUAAAUGCAUGUGCAGUUAUGGCAGUGGCGGCAUUUGACAGCAAAUUAUUAACAGAUGUGCCUACAAGCAUAAGUACACAGACACCCAUGUUUGAAGUAAGUGCAGAUUCAGUUGUCAUUGCAAGCUGCAUAUUUUGGCAUUUUAUUAGAGUUUGUCUGAGAAGCAUACACAAACUUUGCUUUUAUUUUUUAUUAUUAGGGCAUGGAGGUCACGUGCGAUCCAAAGAAUAG
This is a long non-coding RNA of Carassius auratus (goldfish), 1483 nucleotides long. The record is from Ensembl. Lineage: Eukaryota; Metazoa; Chordata; Actinopteri; Cypriniformes; Cyprinidae.